AUAUUCAAAAAUUAUUUACUCAAAAUCAAGUCCAUCACGUUAUUGAGAUUGAACUCCAAUUAAUAAUUGAAUGAAUUAUUUUAUAUUAUUGAAUGAGCUGUCAGUAUGUGCAAUACAUCAUUUUAUAUAGUAAUUAUACAUAGUUAAAGUUCUACUCGUAGAUAGAGAGAAUCACGACAAAGAAUUGGAUAUUAAUAUUAUCUCGCUAUUGAAGAAUUGGAAGAAGUACCCCAAGUAACUUAUUACGAAAGUGUGAUUGUAGAACCAAGUGUGACAUAAGACACGGCUGCCAUGGAUCCAAUAUUUUAUCCCCCAACAAAUGGUAUUCCUUCAGAAAGUAAACUGGCAACAUACAUGGUAA
Molecule: long non-coding RNA, 361 nt
Organism: Teleopsis dalmanni
Lineage: Eukaryota; Metazoa; Arthropoda; Insecta; Diptera; Diopsidae
Exons: 3
Source: RefSeq, a predicted model, not a curated record